Molecule: small RNA, 325 nt
Filed under: Histoplasma capsulatum
Lineage: Eukaryota; Fungi; Ascomycota; Eurotiomycetes; Onygenales; Ajellomycetaceae
Also listed under: 1 other name
Description: hypothetical RNA
Source: RNAcentral
CUGGUGGGAGAGGUGGUGGUGGUGCGAAUGGGAGUGGGAAUUGGCGUGGCCACCGGCGCCACGGCCAUGACUGCUACUCCCAGAAGGCGUCGUGGGCCUCCUCCCCGCAGACGAAGUAGUCGAUAAUACCGGCAUAGGUAGUGAUUUCGGCGCCCACAGGAGCCUCAUCCACCAGAACCACCCGCCCGCCAUCUUCGCGUGCUCGCGCCGCUGCUCUUUCAACUUCCGCCGCAGCGCGGCGCGGCGCUCAUUCUCCUUCUCCCAGUAGUCGGAGCGGUAUUCAUCCCAGUUCUCGCGGAAGGCGGGGGAGAAGGAUUUCGGGAGC